CAACAACAAAAAACAAGAUACAAAAU
This 26-nucleotide non-coding RNA is filed under the name Rattus norvegicus (Norway rat). The record is from RNAcentral. Lineage: Eukaryota; Metazoa; Chordata; Mammalia; Rodentia; Muridae.